RNAcentral lists this ribosomal RNA (497 nucleotides) under uncultured bacterium. RNAcentral's name for it is "partial 16S ribosomal RNA". It matches the Rfam family "Bacterial small subunit ribosomal RNA", at positions 28 to 507 of the family's 1533-position model. The record is from RNAcentral.
GAUGAACGCUGAAAGCGUGACUAAUACAUGCAAGUCGAGCGAACGGAAAAGAAACAUGAAAAUAAGCAAAUAAAAACGAACAAAAAAAAAAACAAUGCAAACACAAAACAAACGACUGGGAUAACUACGAAACCACGACGCUAAUACCGGAUAAUAUUUUGAACCGCAUGGUUCAAAAGUGAAAGACGGUCUUGCUGUCACUUAUAGAUGGAUCCGCGCUGCAUUAGCUAGUUGGUAAGGUAACGGCUUACCAAGUCAACGGUGCAUAGCCGACCUGCGAGGGUGAUAGGCCACACUGGAACUGAGACACGGUCCAGACUCCUACGGGAGGCAGCAGUAGGGAAUCUUCCGCAAUGGGCGAAAGCCUGACGGAGCAACGCCGCGUGAGUGAUGAAGGUCUUCGGAUCGUAAAACUCUGUUAUUAGGGAAGAACAUAUGUGUAAGUAACUGUGCACAUCUUGACGGUACCUAAUCAGAAAGCCACGGCUAACUACGUG